CUGACGAGUGGCGGACGGGUGAGUAAUGUCUGGGAAACUGCCUGAUGGAGGGGGAUAACUACUGGAAACGGUAGCUAAUACCGCAUAACGUCGCAAGACCAAAGAGGGGGACCUUCGGGCCUCUUGCCAUCGGAUGUGCCCAGAUGGGAUUAGCUAGUAGGUGGGGUAACGGCUCACCUAGGCGACGAUCCCUAGCUGGUCUGAGAGGAUGACCAGCCACACUGGAACUGAGACACGGUCCAGACUCCUACGGGAGGCAGCAGUGGGGAAUAUUGCACAAUGGGCGCAAGCCUGAUGCAGCCAUGCCGCGUGUAUGAAGAAGGCCUUCGGGUUGUAAAGUACUUUCAGCGGGGAGGAAGGGAGUAAAGUUAAUACCUUUGCUCAUUGACGUUACCCGCAGAAGAAGCACCGGCUAACUCCGUGCCAGCAGCCGCGGUAAUACGGAGGGUGCAAGCGUUAAUCGGAAUUACUGG
Molecule: ribosomal RNA, 473 nt
Filed under: uncultured bacterium
Lineage: Bacteria
Description: bacterial SSU rRNA
Rfam family: Bacterial small subunit ribosomal RNA
Source: RNAcentral